This 618-nucleotide ribosomal RNA is filed under the name uncultured Desulfovibrio sp. RNAcentral's name for it is "bacterial SSU rRNA". It matches the Rfam family "Bacterial small subunit ribosomal RNA", at positions 848 to 1479 of the family's 1533-position model. The record is from RNAcentral. Lineage: Bacteria; Pseudomonadati; Thermodesulfobacteriota; Desulfovibrionia; Desulfovibrionales; Desulfovibrionaceae.
GAUAUAGCACUAAAUCGACCCCCUGUGGAGUGCACUCGCGCGAUAUACUCUAAGAAUAGACGGGGGCCCCACACGAGGUGUAGCACGUGGUUUAUAUGAGGCACACGUAUAGCCUUUUCAGAGCUCGUCAUGCUAGUAGUAUAAGCCUGAAAGGGGGACGAUCUCGCACGAGAAGCUAUCACACGUGUGGCAUAUCUGUCUUCAGAUCGUGUCGUGAGAUGUUGGGUUAAGUCUCGCAACGAGAGCACCCCUUAUCUUUAGUUGCCACUCUGAUACAAAUCUGAGAGAACUCUAGAGAGACUGCCUCGGUUAACGAGGAGGAAGGUGGGGAGGACGUCAAGUCUCUAUGGCCCCUACGCCCUGGGGUACACACGUGCUACAAAGGUUGGUACAAAAAGAAACAAACCCGCAAAAAGAAAAGGAUAUCAAAAAACCACCCUCACUCCAGAUUGGAGUGUGCAACUCUACUCCACGAAGUUGGAAUCUCUAGUAAUGGUAGAUCUGAUACGCUACCGUGAAUACGUUUCCGGGCCCUGUACUCUCCCCCCGUCUCAUCUUGAAAGCUGGUGGUACCCAAAGUACGGCUUAAACCCUCCAAAGGUAUGGUCAGAGAGUGAG